GCCAGUGUGGUGUAGUGGUUUGAGUACUGGACUAUGACUCUGGAGAUCAGGGUUUGAAUCCUAGUUAAGGCA
Non-coding RNA from Phrynosoma platyrhinos (Desert horned lizard), 72 nucleotides. Lineage: Eukaryota; Metazoa; Chordata; Lepidosauria; Squamata; Phrynosomatidae. The record is from the annotation of a GenBank genome assembly.